Molecule: long non-coding RNA, 380 nt
Organism: Strongylocentrotus purpuratus (purple sea urchin)
Lineage: Eukaryota; Metazoa; Echinodermata; Echinoidea; Camarodonta; Strongylocentrotidae
Exons: 3
Source: RefSeq, a predicted model, not a curated record
UGGCGUUCAUGCAAGCAAGCCCUAAAACUUGUAGUACAACUGCCAUGUAUCAACACUCCAUACAAACCAGCUCAGGAUGAUGGGAACUAAGCUGAAUUACUUUACCAGAUUGCCUCUUACGGUAGCAGGGUAUUCAUGGAGCAUUAUCGAGAUGGCAUCAGGAAGAGAGUGUUCGGCAGGUGAAGUGCAUUUGUAGAAGCCUCAGACUUCAACGCCACUGCCCAGAAUCAUCUGAGCAGGACAUUGCCUGAGCUAUUUGUCCGAUGCCCUCUCGCCUUAUCCUUGCUGAUCACACUGUCCAACACUGCAAUGUUAUCAAGCUGCUCGGAGUGUUUAUGCAGUCCAAUCUCAAAUGGGACACUCAUGAUUGAUUGAUUUGA